Molecule: ribosomal RNA, 652 nt
Filed under: Arthrobacter alpinus
Lineage: Bacteria; Bacillati; Actinomycetota; Actinomycetes; Micrococcales; Micrococcaceae
Description: bacterial SSU rRNA
Rfam family: Bacterial small subunit ribosomal RNA
Source: RNAcentral
GUCGCGUCUGCCGUGAAAGUCCGGGGCUCAACUCCGGAUCUGCGGUGGGUACGGGCAGACUAGAGUGAUGUAGGGGAGACUGGAAUUCCUGGUGUAGCGGUGAAAUGCGCAGAUAUCAGGAGGAACACCGAUGGCGAAGGCAGGUCUCUGGGCAUUAACUGACGCUGAGGAGCGAAAGCAUGGGGAGCGAACAGGAUUAGAUACCCUGGUAGUCCAUGCCGUAAACGUUGGGCACUAGGUGUGGGGGACAUUCCACGUUUUCCGCGCCGUAGCUAACGCAUUAAGUGCCCCGCCUGGGGAGUACGGCCGCAAGGCUAAAACUCAAAGGAAUUGACGGGGGCCCGCACAAGCGGCGGAGCAUGCGGAUUAAUUCGAUGCAACGCGAAGAACCUUACCAAGGCUUGACAUGAACCAGACCGGACUGGAAACAGUUCUUCCACUUGUGGCUGGUUUACAGGUGGUGCAUGGUUGUCGUCAGCUCGUGUCGUGAGAUGUUGGGUUAAGUCCCGCAACGAGCGCAACCCUCGUUCUAUGUUGCCAGCGGUUCGGCCGGGGACUCAUAGGAGACUGCCGGGGUCAACUCGGAGGAAGGUGGGGACGACGUCAAAUCAUCAUGCCCCUUAUGUCUUGGGCUUCACGCAUGCUACAAUGG